ACGAACUCUGGUAUUGAUUGGUGCUUGCAUCAUGAUUUACAUUUGAGUGAGUGGCGAACUGGUGAGUAACACGUGGGAAACCUGCCCAGAAGCGGGGGAUAACACCUGGAAACAGAUGCUAAUACCGCAUAACAACUUGGACCGCAUGGUCCGAGNUUGAAAGAUGGCUUCGGCUAUCACUUUUGGAUGGUCCCGCGGCGUAUUAGCUAGAUGGUGGGGUAACGGCUCACCAUGGCAAUGAUACGUAGCCGACCUGAGAGGGUAAUCGGCCACAUUGGGACUGAGACACGGCCCAAACUCCUACGGGAGGCAGCAGUAGGGAAUCUUCCACAAUGGACGAAAGUCUGAUGGAGCAACGCCGCGUGAGUGAAGAAGGGUUUCGGCUCGUAAAACUCUGUUGUUAAAGAAGAACAUAUCUGAGAGUAACUGUUCAGGUAUUGACGGUAUUUAACCAGAAAGCCACGGCUAACUACGUGCCAGCAGCCGCGGUAAUACGUAGGUGGCAAGCGUUGUCCGGAUUUAUUGGGCGUAAAGCGAGCGCAGGCGGUUUUUUAAGUCUGAUGUGAAAGCCUUCGGCUCAACCGAAGAAGUGCAUCGGAAACUGGGAAACUUGAGUGCAGAAGAGGACAGUGGAACUCCAUGUGUAGCGGUGAAAUGCGUAGAUAUAUGGAAGAACACCAGUGGCGAAGGCGGCUGUCUGGUCUGUAACUGACGCUGAGGCUCGAAAGUAUGGGUAGCAAACAGGAUUAGAUACCCUGGUAGUCCAUACCGUAAACGAUGAAUGCUAAGUGUUGGAGGGUUUCCGCCCUUCAGUGCUGCAGCUAACGCAUUAAGCAUUCCGCCUGGGGAGUACGGCCGCAAGGCUGAAACUCAAAGGAAUUGACGGGGGCCCGCACAAGCGGUGGAGCAUGUGGUUUAAUUCGAAGCUACGCGAAGAACCUUACCAGGUCUUGACAUACUAUGCAAAUCUAAGAGAUUAGACGUUCCCUUCGGGGACAUGGAUACAGGUGGUGCAUGGUUGUCGUCAGCUCGUGUCGUGAGAUGUUGGGUUAAGUCCCGCAACGAGCGCAACCCUUAUUAUCAGUUGCCAGCAUUAAGUUGGGCACUCUGGUGAGACUGCCGGUGACAAACCGGAGGAAGGUGGGGAUGACGUCAAAUCAUCAUGCCCCUUAUGACCUGGGCUACACACGUGCUACAAUGGAUGGUACAACGAGUUGCGAACUCGCGAGAGUAAGCUAAUCUCUUAAAGCCAUUCUCAGUUCGGAUUGUAGGCUGCAACUCGCCUACAUGAAGUCGGAAUCGCUAGUAAUCGCGGAUCAGCAUGCCGCGGUGAAUACGUUCCCGGGCCUUGUACACACCGCCCGUCACACCAUGAGAGUUUGUAACACCCAAAGUCGGUGGGGUAACCUUUUAGGAACCAGCCGCCUAAGGUGGGACAGAUGAUUAGGGUGAAG
RNAcentral lists this ribosomal RNA (1454 nucleotides) under Lactiplantibacillus plantarum. Its description in RNAcentral is "16S ribosomal RNA". It matches the Rfam family "Bacterial small subunit ribosomal RNA". Lineage: Bacteria; Bacillati; Bacillota; Bacilli; Lactobacillales; Lactobacillaceae. The record is from RNAcentral.